Pongo abelii (Sumatran orangutan) is the source of this 79-nucleotide Y RNA. It matches the Rfam family "Y RNA". From Rfam's summary of the family: Y RNAs are components of the Ro ribonucleoprotein particle (Ro RNP), in association with Ro60 and La proteins. The record is from Ensembl. Lineage: Eukaryota; Metazoa; Chordata; Mammalia; Primates; Hominidae.
AAUUGGUCUGAGUAUUGUGGGUUAUUGUUAAGCUGAUUUAAUAUUGUUUCCCUCGACAACCAUGCUUGACUAGCUUAAA